This 73-nucleotide transfer RNA is filed under the name uncultured Solirubrobacteraceae bacterium. Its description in RNAcentral is "tRNA-Ala-GGC". It matches the Rfam family "tRNA". From Rfam's summary of the family: Transfer RNA (tRNA) molecules are approximately 80 nucleotides in length. Their secondary structure includes four short double-helical elements and three loops (D, anti-codon, and T loops). Lineage: Bacteria; Bacillati; Actinomycetota; Thermoleophilia; Solirubrobacterales; Solirubrobacteraceae. The record is from RNAcentral.
GGGGCUAUAGCUCAGCUGGUAGAGCGCCUGCAUGGCAUGCAGGAGGUCGUCGGUUCGAGCCCGACUAGCUCCA